UAUCUCUGUAGAGUCUGCAUAUCAAUAAGCGGAGGAAAAGAAACUAACAAGGAUUCCCCUAGUAACGGCGAGUGAAGCGGGAAGAGCUCAAAUUUGAAAUCUUCAAGGUUUGACCUUGACGAAUUGUAGUUUAAAGAAGUGUUUUCGGUUAGAGGAGUAGUAAAAGUUCUUUGGAAUAGGACAUCAUAGAGGGUGAGAAUCCCGUAUUUGACUAUUCUUUCUAGCUUUGUGAUACACUUUCAAAGAGUCGGAUUGUUUGGGAAUGCAGUCCAAAAUGGGUGGUAAAUUUCAUCUAAAGCUAAAUAUUGGCGAGAGACCGAUAGCGAACAAGUACCGUGAGGGAAAGAUGAAAAGAACUUUGAAAAGAGAGUUAAACAGUACGUGAAAUUGUCAAAAGGGAAGCGUUUGACACCAGUGUUGUUUUUCCGAAAAUCAAUUAAAAAUUGAUUCAUGCCAGGUUGUAUUGACCUUAUCAGCUUGCAAUUUGGUUUUGGGUCUCUUUUUGAUGCACUUUUCGGUUAACAAGUCAACAUCAAUUUCCUUUGCUGUAAAAAGGUAAGAGGAAGGUGGCUUCAAUUUCGGUUGAAGUGUUUAUAGCCUUUUAUCUCUGCAGUCGGGGAGAUUGAGGUCUGCAGCGUAGAUCCUUCGGGGCUAGAUACAUUUAUGCUAAGUUAUAGCUUUUCAUAGACAACUUGUUGACUAUGUUUAGUCAUGUAGCUUACUCGUAAGUGCUAUUUUACCUACGCUUAGGAUGUUGAGCGCAUGUCUCUCUCU
This 774-nucleotide ribosomal RNA is filed under the name uncultured Neocallimastigales. RNAcentral's name for it is "partial large subunit ribosomal RNA". It matches the Rfam family "Eukaryotic large subunit ribosomal RNA", at positions 24 to 642 of the family's 3401-position model. Lineage: Eukaryota; Fungi; Neocallimastigomycota; Neocallimastigomycetes; Neocallimastigales. The record is from RNAcentral.